GCGUAUGGAUAAUUUAGAAGGCUGACAGUGAUGUUGGCUGGAAUUAUCUUUAGUGCAGAUCUUGGUGGUAGUAGCAAAAUAUUCAAUAGAGAACAUUGAAGACUGAAGUGGAGAAAGGUUUCACAUGAACAACACUUGGAUGUGAGUUAGUCGAUCCUAAAACGGUGGGUUAACUCCAAAUACAUAGAUACUUGUAUCUUGUACCGUGAAAGGGAAAUAGGUUAAUAUUCCUAUACUAUAUCAAGGAGGUAAAGUGGUAACACAAAAUGAACUCAAAUACAUCAGUAGAAUAACCAAGGAAAGAGUUCUCUUUUCUUCUUAACGACUUCUCCGCAAGGGGUGUAUAAUGACCAUGGAAUCAAUUUAGUUGGAGAAAUGGUUAAAGAGUCGGUAGAGUAAUUCAAUUUCUGAAUUAUCUGGUUAGGUUCUAAUGGUACAU
Molecule: ribosomal RNA, 439 nt
Filed under: uncultured eukaryote
Lineage: Eukaryota
Description: eukaryotic LSU rRNA
Rfam family: Eukaryotic large subunit ribosomal RNA
Source: RNAcentral